This is a non-coding RNA of Macaca mulatta (Rhesus monkey), 6315 nucleotides long. NCBI's taxonomy places the organism in Eukaryota, Metazoa, Chordata, Mammalia, Primates, Cercopithecidae. The record is from RefSeq and is a predicted model, not a curated record.
GGGCUCUUAGCCUGGAAGGGGAGGACUGGACGGGGCGGGGCUCCCAGCCAGUAAUGGGAGACCUGGAGGGUGAUGGAGCUUAAAAACGAAGCAGAAAGGCCAAGAGGAAGAGCUUCACUGGAGGAGGGAGUCCUUACAGGAAGAGGAGAUGAGGGCACAGACACCCACAGAGGGAAGAUGGUGUGAGGACACAGGGAGAAGACGCCAUCUGCAAGCCCAGGAGGGAGGCCUCAGGAGAAACCAGUCCCACCCACAACUGGAUGUGGGGCUUCCAGCCCCCAGUGCUGCGGGGAAAUAAAGCUCCAUUGUGUAAGCUGCCCCAUCUGUGGUGUUUUAUUGUGGCAGCCCCAGGAACUAAUACCGUAUCCCUACCAAUACAUACGUAUUUACUCACAUGGAGCAACACACAUGUGCAUAUAUGUAAUAUUUUUGCCUAAAAAAAAGUAAGCCAUGCCUAAAAGUAUAGGCGGAGAGAAGGCUAAAAGAGACUGCUCGAAGAGACUGCCAAGGUACAAGAAUCCAACAAAGACACAUCAUAUCAACAGUGAUGAUUUCCUGAAUAGGAAGGCUAUUUGGAUGGCUGGUUUAUAGUUUUCAUGCCCAAGGAGUUUUCCAAGGCCCAGCGUUUACCCUUUGCAGCAGCUCACUCUCCUGAAAUGUGCUUUCAUGUAAACAGGAAGGAGAUACGGAGUACCUCUGCCUAGCACUACGUUAGAAGAAUCCUCAGGCAUUUCCAUCUCAUGCGAUGAUGAGAAAGCAGUAGUUGCUGGCAAACCUCGGCCAACUUCCAGUCUUGUCCUUUUGACAGGGGACUGCUGUCUUGAGUACCCGUCUCAGGCAUCAUAUCCACCUUGGCCCUGCCUUGGGAGCCUGUAGAUGUGGACAGAAAAGAGGGAUGCUGCCUUCCUGGCUGGGCCUUUCUUGACACACAGGCAUAUGGACCCAAGCUCUAAAGGAUGAAGACUCCAUGGUUUCUGAAGUUUUCAUUAUUCUCCGCCUCCUAAAGCUCCACCUUGCAGGCAAUGCACUGUAACAAAAGGACCAGCACAGUGCCCAGCACACAGAAAGCUAUCAAUCAAUGUCAGCCUUAACCAUUAUGUUGGUUGACUUGCCAUCCCUCUUCCUCAUCUGCAAGCUAUGUGAGAGCAAGAUUCAAGUAACCUUGGUAUUACACAAUUCCAUCGUGAUGGGUUCAGUUACAUUUGUCAAAUGAUUCAGAGUAGGACAACGGGAAUUUUCUUGACAACAUCACAGCAUUGUAAAGUCUUUGCUUUGCACGGAAGUGUGGGACUGCAGCAAUGAUUGUGCAAGUUGAAACUGUGUGAAGCGAUUUUAAGAAGUAACAAGAAAAAUUAUGAUUGUUUCGUGAUCUUCAAAAAAUUUUUAAAAUGUUAAGAACUGUUUUACUACUGGUUGUAAAUGUACAAGAACAUUUAAAAAUACCAAAACGAAUACUUAUGUAGCAUGCUACAUAAUUUAAAAAAUUAGAAACAUUGAGAAACAGUGUUUUAUUUCUUUGUGAAAGACUUAUGGAGAGUAAAUUGAACAGGGCUUUGCCACCUUCUCGUUGUAAAACUUACAGUAUGGACCAGGCAUUUUUUCUAUGCCUUGGUAAAUUGUCACAUUCCUUUCUAUAUUUGGAUAGGCUUCCUGCAUUUUGUCCUGCACACUUUCAGUGCUGUGAAAUAUCUCCAAGAUUUUCUUUAUUAUGAAGUUUUUGCCAGCAUCUUCAUCCUGAGUCCCUCUCGCUGCACAUCCAGAAUCUCUCAAAAGACAACAGCAUCAAUGUUUCCACCAUCAGCUCUUUCUUCUCUAAACUCAUUUACGUCUGAGUCAACUUUCACCUCCUGCAUUCUCACUUUUUGUUUCUUUGCUAUACUUUCAUCUUCAUUGGCUACCUCCCUCUCUUGAGUAUUCAUUUCUGUAAAAUGUCAUGUGGGUUUGUCACUGGGAGCCAAGGAGGCAGCACGAGCACACGCUUUGCUGUGUGUGAACUGAUAACACGGAAGGACUGAAGGAUGUGAUGAGGUUAAUCACUGAUCAUGAUGCACAUCUGUUAUUAUGUGGUAGUCUGUGGACUGCAGAGCAAGCAGCAGAGGUUGUCCCCCAUGCAAUCACUCACAGUUAAUGGUGACUGAAAUUGGAACCAUGUUGUGGUAGGGGACUGGUGUUAUUUAACUUCAGUUGCCAUGGGACAAUGAAAAUUCGUGCGUUUGGGACUAUGCAAGGUGAGGACUGCCUGAAUGUUCCAUAAUGUGAUGAGUGCCUCACAAACAGGGCAUAUAUUAUCAAUGAGUUUUUUCAUUAUUCUUGACCUUCAACAUAUAGACGUGCAUGUUGAUGGUAUCAGGUUGUUUCUGCGUGAAUGAGCUUUACUCCUCUGAGAAACGGCAUUCCUGGCCCUCCUCCUUGAAUCAAUUGCACAAAAGUAUCUGAAGGAAAUUUGCUUACCUGCUGCUUUCGAUGGAAGCUUUCCUGCAGCGUUACCCGGUGUCUGUUUCUGGCCGAUGAUUAACCAUGGGGAACAAGCGUUUGGGAUAAAGAAGUUGCAGAACUUUUAAGAGAAUGUAAUAUGUUCAUGUGCACUGGGACUCUCCUUGACCUAUAUCAAGUUUCCUGGAUUCUGAAAUGCUAUAAUUUUAGAAGUGUCAUAACGUUAAAACAGCUUUCUAGGAAGUGCCUUUGUUGAAAGAAUACCCAGGAAUGGUGCACUGGACAGCUUUUGGACAUGUCUUGCAUUUUCUCAGAACUAUCUCUCAUCUUGGCCAUGGCUUCAGUCACAUCCUAAGUGACUCACCUCGGCUUGGGCUGCCUCCUACUGCAGUUCUAAACUCUGGUGGGGGACACGGGCAUGACCCACCCAAGACUCAUAUGUGCUUAAGCUGGAAAUAAGGAGCAGAGGGGCCAGGGGAAGGACCCAAUGGCUAAAUGUUCCUGCUUUUUUUCCCUCAGGCAGACAGUUCUAAGGUACAUGCUGUAGGUUGCUUGGACUACCCUGGCAAGAUCUUCUCCCAGAAAUCCACCUUGGUGGCUGACUUAUUAACUCAUUGGCCUGUUGACUUUUGCUCCUUGCCUCACCCCUGCUCCCUGUGCCUUCUUUCUAAUAAGCUACCUCCUGGUAAGGCUCUGCUUUGGGGGAAACCCAGACUGAGGCAGGUGGGAUGUUGUAACCAGGGAGGCCUGAGUCCUGGGUCUUUGCCUGGGGCCCCCAAAUAGGAGAGGGAUUGGAGGUGGUAUUGUGGGGGAGAAUGGUGCAAAGCCCGAGGGAAAGGGGUGCUGUUACCACAGCAGAGGAGAUGUGAACCUGCACAGACCAAAAACAGGAGAGAGACAGGGAAAGAGAAAGAGAAGGGGGAGAAAGAGAGAAAGGGAGAGAGAGAAAGAGGAAGGGAGAGAGAGAUGGGGAAAGAGGAGAAGAGAAAGAGAGGGAGGGAGAGAAAGAAAAGAGAUGGAGAGACAGAAAAGGGUGGGGAGAGAGAUAAAGAGAGAGGGAAAGAGAGAGAGAGAACCAUCUACUAUACUACAUGAUUUCUUUUUUCUUUUCUUUUCUUUUUUUUUCUGAGGUGAAGUUUCGCUCUUGUUGCCCAGCCUGGAGUGCAGUGGCGUGAUCUCGGCUCACUGCAACCUCCACCUCCUGGGUUCAAGCGAUUCUCCUGCCUCAGCUUCCCAAGUAGCUGGGAUUACAGGUGCCUGCCACCACGCCCAGCUAAUUUUUGUAUUUUUGGUAGAGACGGGGUUUCACCAUGUUGGCCAGGCUGGUUUCGAACUCCUGACCUCAGGCGAUCGGCCCACCUUGGCCUCCCAAAGUGCUGGGAUUACAGGCGUGAGCCACCGUACCUGGCCGUAAUUUUUUUUUUUAACCUAUAAAAGCCUUGAGUAGUGAUGGAAGUGAUUCCUAGGAAUGUGGUUUACUAAAGGGUCAGGCUGGAAGUUCACCACAAAUACGCCACAGUAGUGUUUGGUACUCUCUCAAUGUUCCACCCACCAGAGCAUACAAAACAGCCACAUUCUCCAAACACUUAAUUCUCAAAACAUACUUGUAGAGGAGGGAAGCCUAUUACUCCCAUUAGAAAGAUGGAAAACCAAGGUGAAAUGGUUAACUGAGCUAGCAGGUCCUCAAAAGAAAGUCACUGCUGAGUUUGGGAUUGUGUUUUCAGCUUCCUGCCCACUGUGGGUGAGCUCCACCUUUUACUGGAACCAACUCCAAGGAGGAAGGUUUGCUGGGUUUCCUGGAAGGCAGAGGUUUGCAUCUGCACGCCCUGCGUGGAGGCAUUGUAUUUGGCGGCAGGCAGGAGAAUGCUGCAGCUGGUGUGCCCGCAGAAAGGGAGGGAGAGAAGCCACUGGGAGUGAUCUGGGCUUGGGAUCGGGUUGUGUCAUCACCAACUGUCUGCCCAGGCAUGAACUUGCCACUGCUGUGGAAGAGUCUGGCUGCGUCCAAGAAUGCCCAAGGGUGUGGCUGAAUUCACUUCUCAACAGACUUGGGUCAUGUUCAUAUACUAUUCUUUAAAAGAUCACCAUUUGUAGCAGAAUGUCAAAAACCCAAACAUGUUGCUCUCGGCAUUGAGCUGUAACUUUUUUCUGUGUUGGUGGAAAAACAUGAGAGAAUUUGUUGCCACUCAUGAAUCUCAGUGACACACAGACAAAAAGCAUGCUUCAAUUUCGUGUCUUUGUUUUUGAGUGGUUCUGAUUUAUUUUCAGCUUUUGGGUGAUGUCUGGGGCUGUUUACUGAGGACGGGAUAAAUGUGGGGGGAACCAAAAUACAUUUGGCAUUUAUUGAUGGCGUUUUACAUCUGUGACUUGAUUUACUCCUUAUCACAACCCAGUGAGACACAUACUAUUAUCAUCCUUUUGAUAGAUGAGCAGCCUGGAGCUUGGAGAGGUUAAGUAGCAUGGACAGCAUCAGGCAAGUUAAAUGAGAAAGCCGCCACCCAUUCCCAGCUGGGGCUGACCCCAGCGCCUGUGUUAUUUCUGUUGCCCUGAGCCUCCCCAGGCUUCUUAACCCACAUGCACGCCUAGCUUCCAGCACUGCUAAUUUACACUGUGUACCAGCAGGAGACAUUCUGGAGUGUAGACUGACGCAAUAAUCUCCAAUCAUAGGUUUGCCAUGUUUUUUUUAAUGUGUUUUUUCCUACUUUUUAUUAUAGAUGUCAGAAUUUUCUCCUUCCCUAAGAGUUAUCUUUGGACUUAGAUGUAUAUAAAUUUAUCUGGUUGGAGGUGGGGGGAAAAGUGGAAGUGGAAGACCACAAAAGUAAAAAUUAAAUUUGAGUGUAUUUCACCGAUUCUAAGAGGAACGCCUUCUCGUGCUCCAACCACUCUGAAAUCUCUGGGUUCCGUACUCCCAUGGCCGCUGUGUGACAUGGUUGCCAUGGCCUCUGUGCGAACAUCAAAGCUUAGAGGAUGGGUGUCAGAGGCUUAGAUGAAAAUCCCGAAGACAGUUGUGUGGCACUUUUAAAAGCAAUACGGCCUCGCCAAAACCCUUCUGGAAGCUCUUGAUGGCUCAAGGUUCAACAGUGUCUGGGAAGACACAGAUAUAAAAGAUCCAGAAUCAAAGAGUGAUUCCAAAGAGUUAGAGUCUGACUGUGAAGUUUUAGGCAUACGGUAACCCAGUGAUUUACCUAUCUUUCCUUUUCUGCACAUGCAGAAGAGUGAUGUAUGAUUAAUACAUUCUAAGUUCAAUUAGGCCUAAAAGAGCUCUUGUAAUAUGCUUUAAAAAGCCUAAAUGAUAAGAAAGCAGUGUGACAGAUAGAGUUCUGUCAGUGUUUAUCUUUUCUUAGUCCUUCAUUAAAUAACAGUGUGUCUUACACCAAGGCAGUUUUGAAUUCCAUAAAAUAUGGUAGUAGUUAUGUUUUAUGUUUCAAUAGUCAUCAAUCUGUUUCUAAUGUAUUCAUGGAAAAAUAUGCGGGCCAUCUUGCUAUUUAACUAUUUUUGAAAUCUCAUGGAAGCCUGCCAAAGUUUUUGCAAUUUAGCUAAGAAGCUGUCUUGCUUUUUGAGAGGGGAAGUUCCAAUAUUGUAAGCCUGUGUUUCUGAAUAUAUUUUUGUUUUUUGCUAAUCUGGCAUCUGUCUAGAGCAAAAGCAAAAUAAAUGAAAGGUGAGGAAAAUUAAAAGGCUUGCAUUAUAACAUGUGCUGUCUAGAGAAUAAAAACUCGUUUGUGCACAGUUGGUAUGGCUUUUAUGAAAACACUUCAGUUCAAGCACCUUGUCUGUUUGCUCCAGUGCUGGCUGACUCAUGAUGACGGAUCCGUGCUGCCUUUAUUGCUCUUGGUUUGCCCCAUGGCUUGAUUUAUUAAUAUAUUUAAAUAUAUAAUUUUAACUUUA